Long non-coding RNA from Diceros bicornis minor, 558 nucleotides. RefSeq lists it as uncharacterized. Lineage: Eukaryota; Metazoa; Chordata; Mammalia; Perissodactyla; Rhinocerotidae. The transcript is spliced from 3 exons. The record is from RefSeq and is a predicted model, not a curated record.
CCCAUUGUAUCCUUGGAGGCUGGCGCAUGCGCAGGACUGGCGCUCAGAGUGGCAGAGGGGCCAGCGAGCUGGAGAGUGCAGGGGCGCGUGCACUGGAGGCGUGGCCCCUGGUGCGGAGGUGGCUGCCUCGGAGGUUUGUGUGGGGGGAUUGGCGGUUUCUGGAUCCUUCCUCCAGGAUUUUCAGCGCUGGGGAGUUCUCCUUUCUGCAGUGUGGAGGAGCGCUGGGCAGGAGGCGGCGCUGAGGUCAAAGACCAAGGGCAGAGGUCAUCGAGAGGUCAAGUCUAAUCUACCUGUGGAUGUGGCAGCCUUAACUAUGGAUGUUCAAGCCAGACAUUGCCAACAGAGCCACAUCUCAUCAUCCACAGCACGGACUGUAGGAGAAAGCCCAGAGGAGCAAUGAAGACAAAGAAGACAUGACACCUGCAAAAAUCAGUGGAGUAUUUCUACAUAACAAACCUUCCAGGUGAAUGACGGUCAGUAUCUUCCACUGCUCCAGCUCUCGCAAUGAACCUAGAACCUGCCCAGGGUAAGCCUGAAGACCACGCCCCGCUAGUCCAC